RNAcentral lists this long non-coding RNA (651 nucleotides) under Homo sapiens (human). RNAcentral's name for it is "HSALNT0293448". Lineage: Eukaryota; Metazoa; Chordata; Mammalia; Primates; Hominidae. The record is from RNAcentral.
AGUGACGCGCAGGCCCGGGACCCCGGGGGCGGGCGGUGGACCCCCAGCUGGCAGAGCCUGGGGCGGGGGCCUGAGGUGGCGUGGACCGCUUCUUCCCCCGCGGUCGCCCGGGCUGGCGCUCGCGUGCCCAUCGCUGAGAUAGUGGGAGGUGGAGUGGGAACCGCUAGCUUUGCAGAACGCAGAGUCCCUCCUCACCCUGGCGGUCCCGGUGCCCUGGAGUGCAGUCGCGGAAUACUGUUCAGCGGCUCGGGUGGUUUUCCUUGCGUCCCGCCACGCGGCGGCUCCUCACUAAAAGGCUGCCUUCUCCCCACAGCUCCAGGUCCGAGAGGAGCCGCACCGUCGGGUUGGAGAUCGCGCGCAAGGGUGGCCUCUGGGUCUGCAUCUGCCCCGCAUCGGCCACAGGAAAAGCCUGGUCCCUAGGCACGGUCGUGGUUCGAGCUUUUCGUUCUCUCGCACAUUGAGGUAUUCGCUCAGCCCACCACGUUGUCCUCGGGGUUAUUAGGCCCCAGUCACAAGCCCUAUGAUGUUUUCAGACUUCCCAGGUGGAGAUAAAGGAAAAUUUUACUAUUUCUGCAGAACUUCUGUUGAUGUACAGCAUUGUAUUUAGCAACUUCUGUGUAGAUCUGAAAAUAAAUACAUUACCAAUUGUUA